UACGUAGGCAGCAAGCGUUGUUCGGAGUUACUGGGCGUAAAGGGUGCGUAGGCGGCCUUAUAAGUAUGGUGUGAAAUCUCCCGGCUUAACUGGGAGGGUGCGCUAUAGACUGUGGGGCUAGAGUGUGGGAGAGGAAAGUGGAAUUCCUGGUGUAGCGGUGAAAUGCGUAGAUAUCAGGAGGAACACCGGUGGUGUAAACGGCUUUCUGGACCAUAACUGACGCUGAGGCACGAAAACGUGGGUAGCAAACAGG
This 253-nucleotide ribosomal RNA is filed under the name uncultured bacterium. RNAcentral's name for it is "partial 16S ribosomal RNA". It matches the Rfam family "Bacterial small subunit ribosomal RNA", at positions 524 to 776 of the family's 1533-position model. The record is from RNAcentral.